GGGGAAUAUUGGACAAUGGGCGCAAGCCUGAUCCAGCAAUGCCGCGUGUGUGAAGAAGGCCUUCGGGUUGUAAAGCACUUUUAGUAGGGAAGAAAGACUCAGGGCUAAUACCCUUGGGGGUUGACGUUACCUACAGAAAAAGCACCGGCUAACUCUGUGCCAGCAGCCGCGGUAAUACAGAGGGUGCAAGCGUUAAUCGGAAUUACUGGGCGUAAAGCGCGCGUAGGCGGGUGUUUAAGUCGGUUGUGAAAUCCCCGGGCUCAACCUGGGAAUUGCAUCCGAGACUGGACGCCUAGAGUAUGGUAGAGGAUAGUGGAAUUCCCGGUGUAGCGGUGAAAUGCGUAGAUAUCGGGAGAAACACCAGUGGCGAAGGCGGCUAUCUGGACCAAUACUGACGCUGAGGUGCGAAAGCGUGGGGAGCAAAC
This 425-nucleotide ribosomal RNA is filed under the name uncultured bacterium. Its description in RNAcentral is "bacterial SSU rRNA". It matches the Rfam family "Bacterial small subunit ribosomal RNA", at positions 356 to 773 of the family's 1533-position model. The record is from RNAcentral.